Molecule: transfer RNA, 91 nt
Filed under: Paludibacteraceae bacterium
Lineage: Bacteria; Pseudomonadati; Bacteroidota; Bacteroidia; Bacteroidales; Paludibacteraceae
Description: tRNA-Ser
Rfam family: tRNA
About the family: Transfer RNA (tRNA) molecules are approximately 80 nucleotides in length. Their secondary structure includes four short double-helical elements and three loops (D, anti-codon, and T loops).
Source: RNAcentral
GGAGAGGUGCUCGAGUGGUUGAAGAGGCACGCCUGGAAAGCGUGUAUACCCCAAAAGGGUAUCGUGAGUUCGAAUCUCAUCUUCUCCGCCA